AGUGAACGCUGGCGGUAGGCCUAACACAUGCAAGUCGAACGGCAGCACAGUAAGAGCUUGCUCUUACGGGUGGCGAGUGGCGGACGGGUGAGGAAUACAUCGGAAUCUACUUUUUCGUGGGGGAUAACGUAGGGAAACUUACGCUAAUACCGCAUACGACCUACGGGUGAAAGCAGGUGAUCUUCGGACCUUGCGCGAUUGAAUGAGCCGAUGUCGGAUUAGCUAGUUGGCGGGGUAAAGGCCCACCAAGGCGACGAUCCGUAGCUGGUCUGAGAGGAUGAUCAGCCACACUGGAACUGAGACACGGUCCAGACUCCUGCGGGAGGCAGCAGUGGGGAAUAUUGGACAAUGGGCGCAAGCCUGAUCCAGCCAUACCGCGUGGGUGAAGAAGGCCUUCGGGUUGUAAAGCCCUUUUGUUGGGAAAGAAAAGCAGCAGGUUAAUACCCCGCUGUUCUGACGGUACCCAAAGAAUAAGCACCGGCUAACUUCGUG
RNAcentral lists this ribosomal RNA (492 nucleotides) under uncultured bacterium. Its description in RNAcentral is "partial 16S ribosomal RNA". It matches the Rfam family "Bacterial small subunit ribosomal RNA", at positions 29 to 507 of the family's 1533-position model. The record is from RNAcentral.